GGCAGAGAGAGAGCAGCUGCCUAUGGAAAGAGAGAUUAACAGCUGAGAGAGAGACUGGUGUGCCUUCGUGUCUUGAACCGUGAGCCAGAGACGGCUUUGAGACGGGAAAACGCAGAACUUUGCCACGCAGGCAUUCUGGGAUGGUGCCGUGAGCUGGAGAUUGGAGCUCUUCCCACAGGCUGGGAUCUGCAGCGACCAUCCACCACCGUUCCAGGGAAAAGGCUAAUUUCAGGCUCCAUUCCAAGCACAAAUCCUGCCUCUUUAGAAGAAAAGUGGCUGAGGCUUUGUGACUGCAGCCAAGACUACACAGCCAGGCCCUUGCUGGCUCAGUGAGGACUUCUCAGGAUCUCCUCAGGAACCUCCAAGAGCUCCAGAGCCACGAGCCAAAGGAAGAUGCAGAGUCAUGGCCAGCACGUCCUCCCCGGGGUCAGGGUUCUGCCAGGGCACACAUCCCCGUGGAGCUGCUUUGCAGAGAGGGGAG
This is a long non-coding RNA of Motacilla alba alba, 481 nucleotides long. RefSeq lists it as uncharacterized. Lineage: Eukaryota; Metazoa; Chordata; Aves; Passeriformes; Motacillidae. The record is from RefSeq and is a predicted model, not a curated record. The transcript has 3 exons.